Molecule: long non-coding RNA, 2428 nt
Organism: Triticum aestivum (bread wheat)
Lineage: Eukaryota; Viridiplantae; Streptophyta; Magnoliopsida; Poales; Poaceae
Exons: 7
Source: RefSeq, a predicted model, not a curated record
CCUCUCCCAUCGACUCCAGCCCCGCCGCCAGCGACCCCCUUCUCUCCCUCGACUCCAGCCCGCCGCCGCGGAGACGCGCACCGACCGCGGCCAUCGUCCUCUGCCACCGCCGCCUCCUCCUUCCCCACCCUCCUCUCACCUCCUCUUCGAGGCGUGCCGCGGUCCUUCUCCGCGCCGGCGACGCGUGCAGCAGAGAACGGCGGGCGUGGCGGAGCGGGACCAUGCUGCCGCGGCGGCCGGCUCGUCCCCGACUUCUGCUUCGCCAGAGAAGAAGGCCGAUUCAUGAGAGGAGAGGAGGAGAGAUGCGGCAGGGCGGCGGUCGUUGUCGGCGACGGGGAGGCGUGCUGAACCUGCCGGCUCGACCCAGGAGCGGCAGGUGCAGAGGCGCGUGCGCUACACCCCCACCCCGUGCUGCUCUCCGCCGCCCAGUCAUUGUGCCCGCUGCUCAAACUCCGCCACCCCAUCGGCCGCUCCGACGCCACUCAUGGUAUCCGGGAAGCACGCGGCCAUUGCUCGAUUCUCGCCUAACUAGGUCGCCGCUUCUCCUUGGUGUUCCACAGGAGAGGAGCAUCCGCCUCCACAACUGGAGAGACGCAUCUUCUCCCCUCCUCGACAGCAACACAGGGACGGAACCAUCAGCUGAGAUGGAGGAUGCCGCCCUUUACGGCGCGCUCGCGGUGGCCUGGUUACCAUCUCUUGGAGAGAGGCAGGCCUACCCCUUCUCCCCCACAGGUACCAGCCCGUCCGUGCCAUACCUCUCUCGAUUUUGCUGUUUAUACGCUUCUUUGGGCAGUGAUGUCCACGGCCGAGCAACGAGGUGGUGGUGGUGCUGCUGUUGCUGAAAAUGGUUGUCCUCUAAUAUUAUUCAGAUGUAGUUAGAUUGCUACUGCAUAGAGCUGUUCAAAUGCCAUGUUGUUCUGUUCACAGUACAUUGAAUACACCCUAUAUUCCUAAUCAUAUUAAGCGAUGCCCUGCUGGUCCUCUUCGUGUCUCUUACAGUAGUAUCUCUUUCCAUCUAGCAGCCAAUGAUGUACAAUGGCACAAUUGACAUAAUCUCUAUUUUUCCUCUUACAUUGAAAAUUGUGUUAGCAGUCACACACUUAUGGUCAUGUACUUACUAAUGCUUUGGCCUGAAACUGGAACCACUGCAGCUGUUUUGCUGCCAAUAUAACUUCAUUUGCAUUUAGUUUGUUGUAAUAUUAAUUCAAGUUCUACAGCCUCCCAGGUCUUGUUUUUUAUUUAGUCAAGUUUCCAUCUAAUUGCCUGAAUUAGUCACAUAUGGGAGUGCAGUCUGAAAGUUAGAACAGGGUUUGCAACAAUAGUGUGAUUUAUGUUACUGGAAGUACUGCCAUUGCUUUUGUCGUUUUUCAGGUUUGCUCUCGGUUCUAUUGGCAAGGGAUCUUUGGGCAAUAGUUGAGCACCAAAGGACAAUCUAAAUUACUAUCAUGAUAUUUCAGGUAGUAUUUACUCGAACAUAAUCUUUUUCUGUUCUUCUAUUUUCUCCUUUGUUUUGGUAUAAUGAUGCGUUGAUGCCCACUGUCAUGUAUCCUAUGUUGAGUUGUGGGACUGGAUUAGGGAGAUACCAAAAAUUAGGAUGCCCGAAAUAAAAGCUUUCCCUAUUCGCAAGCUAUUUUUUUUUGCAAAAAUAAUCGUAAGCUAUUUAUACAUUAUAAAUCAUGGCAAGAUUCCAUACUAAUGUUUUUCUCCUUCAAAUGUGAGGUCUCAUGUCUUCCGGCUUACAGUAGAUGAUACAAAGGUCAUUGUUUGCAGCAGAGCGGCUCCGUGGCUAGCGCCGAGGUGCUGCAACCAGGAGCGGAAGCAGUGGUCGGCCAUCACGUCUGACACCCCACUGGAGACCGUUGGACAUCAUGCAAGCCAUGGUGACUGCAAGUUGCUAAUUUUGGGCUCCGUGGGAUUUGAUGAGGUUGCUGCUCCUCUUAAAGAUCGACUUGUGAUGUUGAGAAGAUUACCAUGUUGAAGGAUGGACAAUUAGAGAGGAGUAUUCUCACCAAAGUAAGUGCGUAUGGAAGAAAGAAAACAAGUGAAGAAUGCUUAUGUCAGGUUGAGUUGAGCAAGGCAUGAUGGUCAUAGUUUUUGCAAGGCGUAUCUUCAAUGUUCACAUGUUGUUAUCCUAGGCUUAUGUCGUGUAGCAAAAGAUGGUGGAUUUGGACCUUUAAAACUAAACUAUGUAACAACACAAUGCUCGGAUUUGAAGAUAUCAUGUUGCGCAUUAUAUACCACUCUGCUCUGCUUUUGAUAUCUUGGAUCUAUGUGUUUUUGUUGAACUUGAUGCAAUUAAGCUUUCUUUAGGCAACUACUGUGUUACUUUUGGUACAAAUUGAAUCUCCAUGCUUUGUAUUGAACUUAGGCAUACAUUUAUCUUAUGCAACAACAGUUCCUUGCUUUUGCUAUAACUUUUCUCUGGCUA